UUAGAGUUUGAUCCUGGCUCAGGAUGAACGCUGGCGGCGUGCUUAACACAUGCAAGUCGAACGGACUUAAUGGAGAGCUUGCUCGAAAUUAAGUUAGUGGCGGACGGGUGAGUAACGCGUGGGUAACCUGCCUCACACUGGGGGACAACAGUUGGAAACGGCUGCUAAUACCGCAUAAGCGCACGGGACCGCAUGGUCUAGUGUGAAAAACUCCGGUGGUGUGAGAUGGACCCGCGUCUGAUUAGCUAGUUGGUAAGGUAACGGCUUACCAAGGCGACGAUCAGUAGCCGGCCUGAGAGGAAGGUCCCCCACAUUGGUACUGAGACACGGACCAAACUCCUACGGGAGGCAGCAGUGAGGAAUAUUGGUCAAUGGGCGGAAGCCUGAACCAGCCAAGUCGCGUGAGGGAAGACGGCCCUACGGGUUGUAAACCUCUUUUUCGGGGGAAUAAAGUUCGCCACGCGUGGCGUUUUGCAUGUACCCCGCGAAUAAGGAUCGGCUAACUCCGUGCCAGCAGCCGCGGUAAUACGGAGGAUCCGAGUGUUAUCCGGAUUUAUUGGGUUUAAAGGGUGCGCAGGCGGCUUUUUAAGUCAGGCGGAAAAAUCGUGGGGCUCAACCCCAUCUUGCAGUUGAUAUUUGAGAGCUUGAGUGCGGGUGAGGUUGGUUGAAUUUGUAGUGUAGCGGUGAAAUGCAUAGAUAAGGCGGAAGAACUCCGAUUGCGUAGGCAGCUGACCAAGCCGUAAAAUGACGGUCAUGCACGAAAGUGCGGGGAUCGAACAGGAUUAGAUACCCUGGUAGUCCGCACAGUAAACGAUGAAUACUUGUUCUUGGCGAUAUAGUGUCAGGGGCAAAGCGAAAGCGAUAAGUAUUCCACCUGGGGAGUACGCCGGCAACGGUGAAACUCAAAGGAAUUGACGGGGGCCCGCACAAGCGGAGGAACAUGUGGUUUAAUUCGAUGCUACGCGAGGAACCUUACCCGGGCUUGAAAGUUAGCGACGGAGGUGGAAACAUCUCUUCCCUUCGGGGCGCGAAACUAGGUGCUGCAUGGUUGUCGUCAGCUCGUGCCGUGAGGUGUCGGCUUAAGUGCCAUAACGAGCGCAACCCUUUUCUCCAGUUACCAUCAUUAGGUUGGGGACUCUGGAGACACUGCCAUCGUAAGAUGUGAGGAAGGAUGGGAUGACGUCAAAUCAGCACGGCCCUUACGUCCGGGGCGACACACGUGUUACAAUGGGCAGGACAGAAAGGAUCGAAGUGGCGACACUGAGGGAAUCUCCAAACCUGCUCCCAGUUCGGAUUGGAGUCUGCAACCCGACUCCAUGAAGCUGGAUUCGCUAGUAAUCGCGCAUCAGCCAUGGCGCGGUGAAUACGAUCCCGGGCCUUGCACUCACCGCCGGUCAAG
This 1399-nucleotide ribosomal RNA is filed under the name uncultured bacterium. Its description in RNAcentral is "bacterial SSU rRNA". It matches the Rfam family "Bacterial small subunit ribosomal RNA". The record is from RNAcentral.